RNAcentral lists this ribosomal RNA (470 nucleotides) under uncultured bacterium. RNAcentral describes it as "bacterial SSU rRNA". It matches the Rfam family "Bacterial small subunit ribosomal RNA", at positions 330 to 792 of the family's 1533-position model. The record is from RNAcentral.
UCCAGACUCCUACGGGAGGCAGCAGUGGGGAAUAUUGCACAAUGGGCGCAAGCCUGAUGCAGCCAUGCCGCGUGUGUGAAGAGGGCCUUCGGGUUGUAAAGCACUUUCAGCGGGGAGGAAGGCAAUAAGGUUAAUAACCUUGUUGAUUGACGUUACCCGCAGAAGAAGCACCGGCUAACUCCGUGCCAGCAGCCGCGGUAAUACGGAGGGUGCAAGCGUUAAUCGGAAUUACUGGGCGUAAAGCGCACGCAGGCGGUUGAUUGAGUCAGAUGUGAAAUCCCCGGGCUUAACCCGGGAAUUGCAUCUGAUACUGGUCAGCUAGAGUCUUGUAGAGGGGGGUAGAAUUCCAGGUGUAGCGGUGAAAUGCGUAGAGAUCUGGAGGAAUACCGGUGGCGAAGGCGGCCCCCUGGACAAAGACUGACGCUCAGGUGCGAAAGCGUGGGGAGCAAACAGGAUUAGAUACCCUAGUA